GCCAGGCGUGGUAGCACACGCCUUUAAUCCCAGUAUUCAGGAGGCAGAAGCAGGCGGAUCUCUGUGAGUUCAAGGCCAGCCUGGUCUACAUAGUGCGUUCCAGGACAGCUGGGGCUACAGGGAGACUCUGUCUCAAAAAGACCAAAAAAAAAAAAAGAGAAUACAAGUUAAAGAAGAUAUCUGUUUGCAACUGGCCUGGAACUCACUAUGUAGACCAGGUUGGCCUUGAACUCAAAGAUCUGCCUGUCUCU
Molecule: small RNA, 251 nt
Filed under: Nannospalax galili (Upper Galilee mountains blind mole rat)
Lineage: Eukaryota; Metazoa; Chordata; Mammalia; Rodentia; Spalacidae
Description: Metazoan signal recognition particle RNA (ENSNGAG00000008637.1)
Source: RNAcentral